RNAcentral lists this long non-coding RNA (2708 nucleotides) under Capra hircus (goat). RNAcentral's name for it is "lncRNA (ENSCHIG00010029034.1)". Lineage: Eukaryota; Metazoa; Chordata; Mammalia; Artiodactyla; Bovidae. The record is from RNAcentral.
AAUCAGUAUCCUGGGCGAUGGUGUCUACAGCCAAGUCCAGAUAAAUAAUGCUAUCAGGGACUCUGCACCAGACCGCCCCAGCUGGGUGCCCGCCCCUGUAUGAACUCGGCUGGGGCUAAGGGAUUCCCAUGGAGUCAUAACUAUAAACCCACACUCGGAGCCUCCAAGAUCCCUCAGGCUCCACAAGAGAAAGAAACUAGGUCAUCAGGAUCCACCCCAAGGAUGGUUAUCUAGAGAAGACUGCUGAUGGUGCCUACGUUUUUUUAAUGAACAUUUGUUUUUUGACAAGUGAAACCAACUCAGUGUAGAGCCUGGGCAGGUCAAUUCACUUUUCUAGGCUUCAGUUUUUUUAUAUAUAUAUGUAAAACAAGAGGGUUGGGGUAGAUCUACAUUGACUAGAACUAGGUAUUCAUGUACUUCCCAUCUUAGAAACUUUCUGAUGUUUAAUUCAGGUACCAAAGCAAAACCAGAUUGACUCUUCCCAUUCACGAAGUACUCCUGACCUACAGGUGAACUGAUGUACUGAUGGGAGCAGAGUCCACUGGGGAGUUUUGCUUCUAGAGCAUGGCGCUUCCUGAGCCUUAGAACCAAACCUUUGGAGCCAAAAAAAAUCAGGACUUGGAGAGCCUUUGGGAAGGGACACCCCAGUAUACAGGCCCAAGAGCUCACUCCACAUGUGCUGUGUAUUAUCAGUGAUGGACAUGGUGGGAAAUCAGACCCUCAAACAGACCAGGUGGGCUCUUGUUUGCAGAGAUGCAGGUUGGGAAGGGCCAGCUUCACUCCUUCUAUUUCGACAUCUUUUAAAACUAGCUUUAUAUGAAAAAAAAAAAAAUUUCCCUGGGGGAAAGACAUGCACACCUUCUGUAACAAGGAAAAUAACAACAAUAGUCAUAAUAAUGAGAAAAGCAAAAUAAGCACAUGUAAGUGCAUUUUUCUUUCUUAGAGAUUUAUUUUUGUUUGAUGAAUCGGACACUGUGUCAGGGAGCGAGGAGAACGUUGGGGGCCCCCCGCAGGGAAAGGGAUGCCCAGAGGUGGGGCUGCUGCGUCCUGCAUGGGCGGGUUUGGUGUUGGGGUCGGUUGGUUGGUUGGUUUAAUCGGUGGCUGGAAGUUUUCCUUUUGUUCACUUUUAUAAAUCUCUCCCUGGGCUUGCGAGCUUCCCCUCCCUCCCACCCCCUUCCCCUGCCCCCCCACAUUUCAUUUUUAAAAAGCGAGCUCGCUCGCCAGGUGUGUCCCCCCAAGCUCUCACAGCUCUAAUAAAUAAGGAGCACCUGUAAGACAGUAGCUUGACUUGUUAAGUGACUCUGUACAAAGGAGGAUAUAGAAAUACAGUAUGUACACCGCAUCCACGGCCCCGUGGUGCUUCAGGGCCAGCGUGACACCGUCCUGGCCUCGCCCGCCCCCUCCUGCUGCCAGCUCGGCGGCCUGUGGGCAGGGGCACCUGGACCCCUCCAGAGGGAACAAUUGCUUUAUUGGAGUUAGUAAACAGAUACACUGAAUCACAAGGUGAUUUGAUUUUUUUUCUUUUUUUUUUGUUUUCUUCUUUUUUUUUUUUUUUUCCUUAUUUUUUCUUUUUUUUCUGUACUCAUCAGAAUGGGAUACUCCACAACUGUCUCACCAACUCAGUGCCAGUACACAUGCUCUAGAGGACUUCUGGACUCCCAGCUACAACUGUACAAGUGCACACAAGAAAAUCUACCCUGUUAUCCUCCACCCACUGAUUGAGGAUCGAAUUGCACAUUUCUCUUAACCAUGACAGGAGAAAGCAAACAGUGAAACAGAAUCAUGGGUGAGCUUUCUCACUUUCCCUCCUGUUUUCAUUGGUUUGUCCAUACCAUUCUAAUUAUCAUGAAAGGGCUCUGCGUAUAGAGAGAUUGCUUCACUGACUUCCUGGAUCACCGAAAACCAUCAGGGUUGAAAUUUCAUCCAAGUCUUUCGUGACGCCCAGCAAAUAUUCCCCCUCGGAUUAUUUUACACCUUCAGGGCAUUUUGGUCUUCAGUUCAACACUCUUGCUCUGUUCCCAAAUGGGGCGCUAUUUAGGGGAAUUUAAAGAGAAAGCUGAGAAGAAUAAACAUUUACCGAGUUCUCUUGGCAUUCAGUCUCUGAAAAACCACAGUAUAAACUAUUCAUGCUGCUUCUUACAUCUGUCAAAUCGAAAAUUAAAAGCCAUAAAAGUGUAACACUGAAAAUAUGGCAUUAAAAAGGAUAAAGGUGGCCUUUGUAAAAAUAACAAGAAAAGUAUAUUAGCCAAUAAAAUAUUCUAACUCUUCAUUUAAAAGUGCAUCCUGGGCAGGACAGAGAUGAANNNNNNNNNNNNNNNNNNNNNNNNNNNNNNNNNNNNNNNNNNNNNNNNNNNNNNNNNNNNNNNNNNNNNNNNNNNNNNNNNNNNNNNNNNNNNNNNNNNUUCAUUUAAAAGUGCAUCCUGGGCAGGACAGAGAUGAAUCUGGAAGCGUUGGGACUCCAGUACGAUCCCUCUCCGCCGUCAAAACGUGAACAGUAUAGGUCCAAAACCGUACAAUGCAAAUCACAACUCUUCGUGUAGCAGCAAAACCACAGCAGUUUUUAAAAAGAUUAAAAAAAGAUUUUUGUUUUCAAAUUCGGAUCGUCUUCCAGCCUCACCCUCUGAGCCUUGGAAGAUGGGGCGGGGAGAAUACCUACAUUGGUCCUUGUGGCUUGUUGGUGUUUUGUUGUUGGUUUUUUUUUUUUUUUU